UCUAGAGGCUUCGGCAAUGGGGGCAACCCUGACCGAGCGACGCCGCGUGUGGGAUUGAAGGCCUUCGGGUCGUAAACCACUGUCAUUGGGAAAGAAUGCCCGGAUGGCGAAUCCGGGAGGGACGGUACCCAAGAAGGAAGCCCCGGCUAACUCCGUGCCAGCAGCCGCGGUAAUACGGAGGGGGCAAGCGUUGUUCGGAUUUACUGGGCGUAAAGGGUGUGUAGGCGGCUGCGCAAGUCUGGUGUGAAAUCUUCACCGCUUAACGGGAAGAGGUCACUGGAAACUGCGUAGCUCGAGUAUGGUAGAGGCAAGCGGAAUUCCUGGUGUAGCGGUGGAAUGUGUAGAUAUCAGGAAGAACACCGGUGGCGAAGGCGGCUUGCUGGGCCAUCACUGACGCUGAGACACGAAAGCGUGGGGAGCAAACG
This 425-nucleotide ribosomal RNA is filed under the name uncultured prokaryote. RNAcentral's name for it is "bacterial SSU rRNA". It matches the Rfam family "Bacterial small subunit ribosomal RNA", at positions 355 to 774 of the family's 1533-position model. The record is from RNAcentral.